Molecule: ribosomal RNA, 421 nt
Filed under: Salmonella enterica subsp. enterica
Lineage: Bacteria; Pseudomonadati; Pseudomonadota; Gammaproteobacteria; Enterobacterales; Enterobacteriaceae
Description: partial 23S ribosomal RNA
Rfam family: Bacterial large subunit ribosomal RNA
Source: RNAcentral
CACCUCGAUGUCGGCUCAUCACAUCCUGGGGCUGAAGUAGGUCCCAAGGGUAUGGCUGUUCGCCAUUUAAAGUGGUACGCGAGCUGGGUUUAGAACGUCGUGAGACAGUUCGGUCCCUAUCUGCCGUGGGCGCUGGAGAACUGAGGGGGGCUGCUCCUAGUACGAGAGGACCGGAGUGGACGCAUCACUGGUGUUCGGGUUGUCAUGCCAAUGGCACUGCCCGGUAGCUAAAUGCGGAAGAGAUAAGUGCUGAAAGCAUCUAAGCACGAAACUUGCCCCGAGAUGAGUUCUCCCUGAGACUUAAAGUCUCCUGAAGGAACGUUGAAGACGACGACGUUGAUAGGCCGGGUGUGUAAGCGCAGCGAUGCGUUGAGCUAACCGGUACUAAUGAACCGUGAGGCUUAACCUUACAACGCCGAAG